This 1117-nucleotide long non-coding RNA is filed under the name Felis catus (domestic cat). RNAcentral describes it as "lncRNA (ENSFCAG00000045004.2)". Lineage: Eukaryota; Metazoa; Chordata; Mammalia; Carnivora; Felidae. The record is from RNAcentral.
AUUAGGAGGGAGCAUGCGCUUGAGAAACUGAAAACAAGGCCCCCACAGCUGGAGUGGAGAGGACAAGACGAUGUUCGGUGUGAGCUAAGACCACAGCGAUGAGGAGGGCCAAAAUCACACCGGGCCACCGGGCCACACGGAGAACGAUGCCCUCUUCUCCAUUGCGUGCAACUGAACCAACAUGGCUGGCAUUCCAGGCUUCCAGACAAGGAUAUAACAAAGAGUUCGUGGUUUCUAGAAGGUUCUCAGAGUGGCAAGGUCUACCUUAGAAUGUGCCGACACCAUUAAGAUCCUUUUUUGGUGAAACGUUUCCAGUGAUACUCAGAUGCCCCUGUUCAGAAAGAGCCCGGCCGGAGCGAACGAAAGCAGAUUCCUCCUCCGAAGAGAGCCCAGGCAACAAAUGGAGGCUGGUAAGGAGCACCCGUUGGUAAGAGAGAUAAGAUGACUUGGAACGAGUCUGAGUAUCAGCAAGCCUGCGUUUUCAAACUCAGGCCAACAGCUCGACGUCUAUUUAUGUCAGGUUAGAUCGCACCCUUUGAUAAAGCAUACGGUCACUAGAAAGUGUCCUUUCCUCCCCCUUCCUUCCUCCCGUAGGCAUAAAUUCCCCCUUAUACAGAUCAGUCUGCAGUCAUGAUUGGGUCCACCCUGAUUCAAAACAACCAGGACUUUCAUCUGAGAGGGGGAAAAAAAAAAAUCUAUCCGAACCCACUGUGUGAAAAUUGUAUGGACCCCAAGCAGUUUUAAUUGAACGUUGUACUUUUUACCAUAUACUUCUGCAUCUUUCGUAAAUGGGUUGGAGGCCACUUUGUAUCUAACACAAUGGUACCAACGUUGAAUUUUAAAAACAGAAAUGAAGGACAAUAGGAAAAACUAGUAACACCAAAGCUUGCGUUGGAAGUGGUCCACUAGAAAGUCCUACAGGAUUGUUUAAGGUAUCUCAAAACUUGGCUCUACUCUGCUUAUGGCCAAGGCAAAGCUUAUGCCAAGCACCGGAGAGGGACGCCUAUAAAGGAAAUCUGUGGGUUUCGAUUAUAUGCGUGUAAGAAAUGACCAGUGCUGAAUGGGGAGAGGUCUGCGGAAGCAGCCCUGUAUAGGGACCUCUAAAUAUCCUUUAAUA